RNAcentral lists this ribosomal RNA (250 nucleotides) under uncultured prokaryote. Its description in RNAcentral is "partial 16S rRNA". It matches the Rfam family "Bacterial small subunit ribosomal RNA", at positions 525 to 775 of the family's 1533-position model. The record is from RNAcentral.
ACGUAGGGGGCAAGCGUUAUCCGGAAUUAUUGGGCGUAAAGAGUGCGUAGGUGGUUUUUUAAGCGUGAGGUGAAAGGCAAUAGCUUAACUAUUGUAAGCCUUGCGAACUGGAAGACUUGAGUGCAGGAGAGGAAAGUGGAAUUCCUAGCGUAGCGGUGGAAGGAGUAGAUAUGAGGAGGAACACCAGUGGCGAAGGCGGCAUUCAGGACUAUAACUGACUCUGAGACGCGAAAGCGAGGGGAGCAAACAG